Molecule: ribosomal RNA, 465 nt
Filed under: uncultured bacterium
Lineage: Bacteria
Description: partial 16S ribosomal RNA
Rfam family: Bacterial small subunit ribosomal RNA
Source: RNAcentral
CUACGGGGGGCUGCAGUGGGGAAUAUUGGACAAUGGGGGAAACCCUGAUCCAGCAAUGCCGCGUGUGUGAAGAAGGCCUGCGGGUUGUAAAGCACUUUCGGUUGGGAGGACUGCUUCUAGCACUAAUAUUGUUGGAAGUUGACGUUACCUUCAGAAGAAGCACCGGCUAACUCCGUGCCAGCAGCCGCGGUAAUACGGAGGGUGCAGGCGUUAAUCGGAAUUACUGGGCGUAAAGCGCGCGCAGGCGGCUAGAUCAGUCGGGUGUGAAAGCCCCGGGCUUAACCUGGGAACUGCAUCCGAUACUGUCUAGCUUGAGUACAGGAGAGGAGAGUGGAAUUCCACAUGUAGCGGUGAAAUGCGUAGAUAUGUGGAGGAACACCAAUGGCGAAGGCAGCUCUCUGGCCUGAUACUGACGCUGAGGUGCGAAAGCGUGGGGAGCAAACAGGAUUAGAUACCCCGGUAGUC